UUCUAUUAGAUAUAAUUAAUAGUAAAAUCUGCUCAAUGAUAUAUUAAAUAGCCGCAAUUGUGCUAAGGUAGCAUAAUCAUUUGUCUUUUAAUUAAAGACUAGAACAAAAGAUUUAACAUUUAAAAUUAUUUCUUUAAUUUAUAUAUUAAAACUAUCUUAAAAGUAAAAAGACUUUUAUAAAAAAGAAAGACGAUAAGACCCUAUUGAAUUUUACUAUAGUUUCACUGGGGCAGUAAGUUAAUUAAUAUUUUAAUUAAAAUUAUUAUUAAAUUGAUCUAAUAAAAUUAAUUACAUGAACAAAUUACCUUAGGGAUAACAGCGUAAUAAAAUUUUAAAGAUCUUAUCAAAAAUAAUGAUUGCGACCUCGAUGUUGAUUAAUUUUCUUUUCCACGCAAUAGUAGAAAUAGAAAGUCUGUUCGACUCUUAAAAAAUUACA
This 436-nucleotide ribosomal RNA is filed under the name Oxyopes salticus. RNAcentral describes it as "partial 16S ribosomal RNA". The record is from RNAcentral. Lineage: Eukaryota; Metazoa; Arthropoda; Arachnida; Araneae; Oxyopidae.